RNAcentral lists this transfer RNA (97 nucleotides) under Prochlorococcus marinus str. MIT 9313. RNAcentral describes it as "tRNA-fMet (CAT) (tRNA-fMet-CAT-2-1)". It matches the Rfam family "tRNA". Rfam says of the family: Transfer RNA (tRNA) molecules are approximately 80 nucleotides in length. Their secondary structure includes four short double-helical elements and three loops (D, anti-codon, and T loops). The record is from RNAcentral. Lineage: Bacteria; Bacillati; Cyanobacteriota; Cyanophyceae; Synechococcales; Prochlorococcaceae.
GGCAGUUGAACCGACCCAGUCACUGCAAGGGAAGUCAGCCAAGAACGUCGGGCUCAUAACCCGAAGGUCGGGAGUUCAAAUCUCCCCCCCGCCACCA